GAUAUUACACAAUUUCUUUCUCUUCUUAAUUUAUUAUAAAAUCGCUCUCUUCGCUCACUCGGUACCGCGUUCGUCUUCGCGUCUUUAUCAACGACAUGAAUAGCUCGGUGCGUACGGGAUUACCGCGUUUUAUCAAUAUGAUCGCAGACAGGUCCUUGAGCGCGAUCUAACGCCAGCGGGAAUUUGCGCAAAAAGGCUGAAUGGCAAAUGCAGUCACGCCUACAUCACGUGUAUGUUCACGUAUGACGGCCAUUCGUUUCCUCCUCUUUCUCUGCGCCAGCACGUGUGCUGGUGCUAGCAAUUGUAUCGGUAUCCUCACGAGAGGAUACUGACAGCUCUUAUGGCUAGUACGUUUAACAUUUAUUGUGAUAACGUGACUAUGUCCUCCGUGAAUAACGGUGACGUGCACCUGGAAGUGCCUAAAAUUCGCGUUACUCUAAAGACAAGAAAUAUUCUGUGAGUAUUGACAAUUCUUCCUUCAAUAAAAAUUUAAUCCAAAAUAUGUAAGACAUAUUUAAUUGCGUCUAGCUUAAACACUUAAAAAAAAAAUCAUUUAAAUUACAGCUGUUACAUGUAUUUAAACAAAGAAAUGAAGAAACCAAUAGUUUGAAAAUUCAGAACUUUGGACUGUCAUAUUUUGACGCAUAUUAAAUCUUUUCAAGGACCACGUUUGUAAAUACUUCGGAACAACUCUCUGUCUUCUGAUACGCAUCUUUUGGAUCACCCUGUAUGAUCAUCAUCUCGAUUGUUAUCUACUAUAAUUACUAUUGAUGGUAGGCUAAGCACUAUCGAAGGUAGCUUGUUGUACGCGAAAACUUCGAUUUGCGCAGCGCAGCAGAAUGAUAAUUAUUGACAACAAAAGAGGCUCUCGAAUGCUACUUGUGGAAAGGAAGUCUUGUAAACUGACAAUACAUUCUCAUGCAAGUGUUUAAAAAUACACAUUUGUCUGCUUUACACGUAAAAAAAAAACAAAUACAGAUUACCAUUUAUAAUUAUAUAAUUUCUGAUAGUGUGUUAACAAGAGAAUUUUAGUUUUACGAAUUUAUCUUGUGAAUGUAAUUCCUUCAACUGAUCCUUGAUAAAUCCGGUUGUACAUUAGGUACAGACUUACCAAACAGAACGAAGGAGCGUGUUUAUCCGAUCUAGUUUCGAUGAACGUAUCUGGAAUGUCCUUUUUUUUAAGUGUUUAGUUUACAGGUAUAUGUUACAGGCUACUAUAAAUGGCAUGCAACAUUUGGUAUAUCGCAGGAUAGGUUACAUAUCUGGACAUUCGAUUUAUUUAUUUUAUUAAAUUAUCGUACAAGGAGCACUGGAUUUGGAUGCAGGGAGCAUGCUUAACACACAACUCGCGUUCACAUGAACAGAUUAUGGAAAAAAGAAGAAAUAGUACCCGAUUAAUAAAAACACGACUGUUUUCUUGAGUAUUGUUAUUAGGUAAUUACGAAAAAGAAAUCGUGAUUAUUGAACAAAUUACUGAAAAAGAAAUCGUGCAAUACUGUUCAGGGCAAGACAAACAUGAUAUUUCCGUACACACUCACUCAUGCGUUAUUAAAUGUUGUCUUGACUGAAAUGACAGAGUUCUAAAAGUAACGGUAUUUCUUCUGAAAUAGAAACGUAAAGUAAUCGGCGGAUUUAUUAAUGCUGUUUGCAAGUUAACUUUGCGAACAAGUAAAUUGUUAAGUAGUGCCAAUAUUUAAAUGCAUUUGUAGUUAUAUCUUUAUAUUAGACCCUCAUAUAUUUUAUAAAUUAUCUUAAAUAAACGUACAAUAAAUCUUUUCCUUUUUGUAAAUAUAAACGUGUUUUUAAAAUUUAUUCUUUAUAUUCUUUAUUUUUCUUUAGAAUCUACUCAAUAGAUUCGACAUAGUAAUUUGCGAGAUCAUUGCUCCAAUAUUUCGCCAAGUAUAUUGCGUAUAUGUCGAGCUCACAGAUUUACUACAAAGGGAAUAAUCGUCGCAUAUAGGCAAGAGAAGAUUAUAAAAUAUAGAGGCGGCAAUUCGCGAAUUGAAAGCAAACUAUCCGUCAUCAUUCUGGACUGUCAACCGUCAACGGUUGUCCGUUCAUCGUCCAUUAUCUCGCACUUUCCUCAACUCGUUUAAUACUUCGUGUUAUCCGCCCCGUU
Solenopsis invicta (red fire ant) is the source of this 2119-nucleotide long non-coding RNA. RefSeq lists it as uncharacterized. NCBI's taxonomy places the organism in Eukaryota, Metazoa, Arthropoda, Insecta, Hymenoptera, Formicidae. The transcript is spliced from 2 exons. The record is from RefSeq and is a predicted model, not a curated record.